UUUUAAAUUAUUUUGGUAUAUUGUGUAUAAUAUGAUUUUUGUACUGAAGCUGAUGAGUUGGAAUGGUUAUUCAGUGGCGAUUUUAAUUUAUUAAUUAAUUUAUUUAUUUUUAUUUGUACUUUGGAUUUUUGUGAUAAAACUAAAUUAAUUAUAAGGUCCGUUGAGAACUGAAAAGUUAAAAAUUGGAUUCUCCAUGAUUAUCUUGGUUUGUGUGGAUAUUUAUUAUUCAGUAAUAUGCUUAUGCAAAAAUAAAGGUUAGAGCUUCACAGGAGAGGUAAAAGAUCUUGUUGCCUAAUAAAGACAAAUUGAAGGCGGAAGACAAUUAUAAAUCUGUAGGAAAAUUGAGCAAAAUAUAUUUAGCCUGAUUUUAUAUUGAUACCAGUUUUCAAUUGAUAUCCAAAUAUAGAAAUUAAGUUUUAAUGGUUAAGGAUUGUAGUAUCGGAAAUUUGUUUUCUUAGCUAUAUUGCAAUAUCCAUUCAACUGUGUUAGCAUCAUCAGGAUAGGGCCCUUCUAUAUUUGGUGAUUGGUAAGUUGUUAUUGUCGGGACAUAAGGAAUAUGUAUGAAUUGUGGUCCAGCUAAUCUCAUUCUUGGUCAUCUUCAACGCAAAGCAUUCACUCGUAGCUCUAAAUACUUCUGUUUAAUUGUUGUCUGUUGUUGUAACCUGACUUUCUUUCCUUUGAUUGCACAUUGUAUCUUUCUUCGCGGUUUCCUCCACUGCCCCAUUUUGGUUGCGCCCUCUCCCAGUUUGAUUUCCCAUGCAGCCGUGCUUACUUGAAGCAUUACUUUGGCCUGGAUCUUGUAUAUUUUUUAUUUGCUAAAUAAGUUGAGAUUUGUGAUGGCCUUGCUUUUGAAACUUAAUGAAUAGGUCACAAGUGUGAAUGCAAGUAGUUAGUUUAUAAGAUUGUUGGCAACAAUGUUAAGAAAGGUGUAAAAAGGUUUAACUAGGCAAAGUGAGGCGUAUUCAUCAAGUUGGACCAAUAAAAUAAUUCCAGAAAUCGAAAAAUAUGUUCAUAAUAAACAAAUUAACAAAAUUGAAAGUCUAAUUUGGAAAGAUUUUCGAUCAAAAGUACUAUGUGAUAUCUUCAGUCUUUUCGUCUUCCUCUAUCCCAAUCCCAUAGGUACACUGAAAAGCAUAAUAGAGAAAAAUGGUAAGUUCUCAAAUUACUGAUCAUGUAAUAAAAUUACAAUCACCAGAAGUAGAAAACUCUGAAAUUUCUAAUAUGACGUUUGAAGGAACCAUCAACAUCAUUUUCCAUGUUGCAAUAUUUAUUUCUCAUUUCUUGUCAACAAGAAGUGUAUUCUUCUUUCCUUUUUCUUCCAUCUAAGCAGAAAAAAAUAUAGUAGAACUAGUAAAACAUUUUAGGUUACGCAAAAUUAAAUCAAAAAGCAAAUACCAAUUAGAAAAAUGUCCACAAAUUGUAAGAAACCUGAUUUUAUUAUUGUUUUUCUUAAGGAAAAAAAUGAAUCGGAACCAAACAGGCAAUACAUUAGUCACCUUGAGGUGUAUGCCUCACAAAUGGCAGUCUACCAGGACUCGAGGCAUAUGCCUCAAAUAGUUUUCUUCUUUUAAAAAUAGUUUUGUUUGGUUGAAGUUUGUUAGCUAAAUAUGGACAUUAUUUUGGGACCCCUCAGAAUUUGCCAGGGUGCUCGUGAGGAUAGAAAUUAUUUUGUGUAUGUAAAAUUGUUGGCGUUCUGGGUGCCUGGUCCCCAUAUUUCUUCUAAAUCUCUCUUCUGCAAUCUGAAAUACCAGGUCUAGCAUCUUAGUGUUACUUUCCAAGUCAAUCCCCUUUGCUUUCUCCUGUGUGGAAUUGGAAGAAGUUUUUUCACCCCUGGUCCUGAAUUCCCGGAGAAUAUGCCAGUUGCAGAAAAUACUCAGAUAAUUAUUAUUUAAGACAAAAUCAUAGUUUUUCCUUCAUUCUUUUAAUUUUUCUGUAUAUUCCAUGGCUUUGAUGAGUAUUAGCCGACUCAAGAAGCAAUAUCUUGUUUAGUUGGAAUCUUUUUAGGCAGAAAUAUGAACAAAAGGUCGAGUUUUGAAAAGGCAGUUGUAAUUUAUUUAUCAAGAAGCGUUUUGGUACAUUUCUUUUCAGCACGUUUAUCAUAUUUUUUAAAGAAUGCAUUACGUGCAAUUGGUAUGCCAUUGAAGGUGAUUUUUCAUAUUCAUUAAUGCUAAAGAGUGCUUUAGCAUUCAAUGAGUUUCCAUUCCAUACAUUCCUUUUAGCAUCUGAAACGCACACCCCCCCACCCCAAAAAAAAAAAAAAUAAUAAUAAUAAUAAAAUAAAAUUGAAGAGAGGAAAGAAACGAAGAAAACAUGCACACAAGCAUGACUAAAAUAAUGGAAAAUUUAUUUAUACCUUCUCCUUGAGCUAGCUGGAGAGAGAUGUAGGUCUGUUAUGGACUUAAGCUACCUUUUUAUGCGAAAAAGUUUAAUAUAGUUAUCUUAUCACUAUUUAGGAGUUAAAACUGCAUCUUUAUCCAUAUGAUUGGCUUCUGAAUAGUGCAUGAAAUCAGUAUAUGUGUGCAUGUAGUGUAUUGAGCUGGCUUGCAAUACUGUUUUGUAUCUUUUCUAAGAGAAGUUUUAUUUGUCCGGUUUUGUCUUGAAUGUAUUAUUCUAGUAAAAGCUGUAAUUUGAAAAUAAGUGAGUGUAAAUGGAGUGAUUACGAUAGUUCCUUCACAGUUAAGCUUAUGAUCAUUGAUAAUAUUUUGUGAAGAAUGUGUUCUGUGCAAGUCUGAUGCCAUUGAAGGUGAUUUUCUUAUCUAUUAAUACUCCCACUCAAGGAGAUUCCAUUCCAUAUUUUCUUUUAGCACCUGACAUUUGCUUCCCCCUGGAAACAGGAAAGAAAAGAAGAAAAUGUGCGCAUGAGUUUGACUGAACUGACGGAUAAUUUAUUUAUAUGUACUCCUUGCGGUCUCUGGAGUGAGAUGUUGUGGGUUUGUUAUGGACAUAAGCUACCUAUUUGUGCAAAUAAAGUUCAAUGCAGUUAUCUUAGACUCUUUAGGGGAGAGAAGCACGGCGUCUUUAUCCAUCAUGAUUUACUUGAGAGCAUGAAACCUAGUAGAUAUGUGCAUGUAGUAUCAUGAGUUGAUUGCUAUAUUUUUAUUAAUUUUUUUUUUUUUAACUUUUUCAGAUUAAGUUAUUGGUCUCCCUCUCUUGAAUGUAUCUUUCUGGUGAAGUAGUAAUUUUUUAAACUGAGUACGUAAAUGAAGUGAUAUGACGGCUCGUGCAAUAUCAAGCUUAUGAUAAUUGAUCAUAUUUUAUGUGGAAUGCGUUAUAUGCCACUGAAGGUUAUUUUCAAAUCCAUUAACAACAAACGAUGCUACUGUCCAAGGAGGUUCCAUUCCAUAUAUUCUUUUGGCACAUAUUAUUUGCCUCCCCCAAGAAAAAUGAAAGAAAGAUGAGAAACAUGAGCAUGAAUAAGCUAAUGAAAAAUUUCUUGUACUUUUCUACUACAGGUUUUGGGAAUUAGAUGAUGUAGGUAUUUUAUGGACAUAACCUACCUUUCUAUGCAAAAAAGUUAUGACUAUUAGAAGUUAAAAUUACUGUGACUCUAGCCAUUACUAUUGGCUUCUGAACAUAGAAUGAGACCUAGUUGGGAUGAGCUUGCAGUAUCUUGAGCUUUUCUCAAGAUCGAUACUGCUCGCUUUUCUCUUGAAUGUAUCUUCCUUGUAAAGUUGGAACUUGAAAAUAAGUCGGUGUAAAUGAAGUGAUUACAGUGAUUCGUGCAAUGUUAAGCUUAUUAUGCGGACUCAUAAAGUUCCUUGUAGAGAGUUUGAUUUUCGGGGUGACAAUAUGCAUUAUUCUCUUCUUGCAGCAGGGAAACUUGAAUAGUGUGGUGGUGU
RNAcentral lists this long non-coding RNA (3839 nucleotides) under Olea europaea subsp. europaea. The record is from RNAcentral. Lineage: Eukaryota; Viridiplantae; Streptophyta; Magnoliopsida; Lamiales; Oleaceae.